Molecule: long non-coding RNA, 348 nt
Organism: Cervus elaphus (red deer)
Lineage: Eukaryota; Metazoa; Chordata; Mammalia; Artiodactyla; Cervidae
Exons: 3
Source: RefSeq, a predicted model, not a curated record
GCUGUAUGUUCCAGAUGGUUCACAUGUAAGAGUCUCACGGACCACAAACAACUGCAGCAGAACAGAGUCUCUUCUGAUGGAUACCAAGGAGAAAGAAGACUUGAAAAGAAGACAGAAUCUGUCACAUGAAGCAGCCACUCAGCCUGUGCACAACAACUACUGAGCCCAUGCUCUAAGACCUGGAAACCGCAAACGGGAGCCUGCAUGCUGCAACUACUGAAGCCUGAGCACCUAGAGCCUGUGCUCCGCAACAAGGGGAGCCCCCACGUACAGAAGCCUGCUCUCCACAAAGAAGAGUAGUGCCUGCUUGCAGCAAUUAGAGAAAGCCCAUGUGCAGCAACGAAGACC